RNAcentral lists this ribosomal RNA (305 nucleotides) under uncultured bacterium. RNAcentral's name for it is "bacterial SSU rRNA". It matches the Rfam family "Bacterial small subunit ribosomal RNA", at positions 338 to 639 of the family's 1533-position model. The record is from RNAcentral.
CCUACGGGGCGCAGCAGUGAGGAAUAUUGGUCAAUGGGCGGAAGCCUGAACCAGCCAAGUCGCGUGAGGGAAGAAGGCCCUGCGGGUCGCAGACCUCUUUGGACGGGGAGCAAGGCCGCCGACGUGUCGGCGGAAGGAGAGUACCCGUAGAACAAGCAUCGGCUAACUCCGUGCCAGCAGCCGCGGUAAUACGUAGGGAGCAAGCGUUAUCCGGAUUUACUGGGUGUAAAGGGCGCGUAGUCGGGAUGGCAAGUCAGAUGUGAAAUCCAGGGGCUCAACCCCUGAACUGCAUGUGAAACUGUCGU